ACCCACUUGAUACAGGUCCGAAAAGUCAGUUUAAGUAACACUAAUCGUUUGUUCGUAAUUGUUCGUCAGAAAUAGUCCCACCUUUUAGAAAAUGUAACUUUUUUGCUUUAAAUUGAUUAAUUAAUAUUCAGUAUCGUACAUUCGACGAUCAUUUACAUUUGUUCGAUUGUAAGUAAUGUUUAAUUACAAUUUUAUCAAUACAUAUUUUUAUUGAAUUUUUUAUUGAUAUUACUAAUACGCGUGUGCGUGUCGAAAAUAUGCAUUUUAUCACGUCACCUAUUAGAAAUUACCAUAGAAAUUAUAAAUCUGUAAUCUAUUGUUCUUCAUUUAUGUUGAGGUGCAUUGAAGUUUGAGGUUAUACGUCUAAUGGCGUUUGCUAAAGACAUUUACGCACUGUUCUUAAUUCAAUGCUGUUAAUAUGCCCAUUCAAUAAAAAUAUUUAAAAAAUGUAAUUAAACAUUAUUUAUCAUUGAACAAACCAUACUGAAUAUUGAUUGAUCGAUUUAAAGAAAAAAGUUAUUUUUUCUACAAGGACGGAUAAGUUGACAGUGAAAAUUUGUUUAAUUUUUUAUAAAUAAACGAAAGACGAACAAACGAUUAAUACUGAUAAACAAUUACGAACAAACUAUUAGAGCCAAUAAGAAAAAGGUAUGAAAUGCAGGGUAUGAAAUGUCGAGCGCGAGCGACACCUAAGUUUACCCCACGUAAGUUUUUAAAUUUUUUAAAUUGCCAAAAUCGACAUUACCGACAUACUAGGCGACAUACAUUUUACUGAAACGACAACAGAUGAUGCGACGGCGGUUGCGAUUAUCGGAGGAAUUCCCCAGUAGUUGUGGCGUUAUUGAGCAAUAAAAAACCGUGAUGUACAGUCUACACUAUUACGGGGUCAAAUUAAUUUGAAAUGUUCUACCUAGAUUAUACAGUUCCUGCAGGAGUUAAAGGUGAAGAAGCCGCUUUCCAUUUUCCUGAAGUAACAGCGGUUCCAACGAAAGUGGCAGAACUUCUUCUAAUAGAGGAAUAGAAGCAGACGGAAUUGCCCCAUUAAAAGAUGAAAAAGUACUGCAUCCAGUGAAAACAUAUGACGGGAAAAGAAGAAUUGUUUCAACUGCAGAAAGUACACUC
This 1122-nucleotide long non-coding RNA is filed under the name Agrilus planipennis (emerald ash borer). Its description in RNAcentral is "uncharacterized LOC112906434, transcript variant X1". The record is from RNAcentral. Lineage: Eukaryota; Metazoa; Arthropoda; Insecta; Coleoptera; Buprestidae.